RNAcentral lists this ribosomal RNA (492 nucleotides) under uncultured bacterium. Its description in RNAcentral is "partial 16S ribosomal RNA". It matches the Rfam family "Bacterial small subunit ribosomal RNA", at positions 29 to 507 of the family's 1533-position model. The record is from RNAcentral.
AGUGAACGCUGGCGGUAGGCCUAACACAUGCAAGUCGAACGGCAGCACAGUAAGAGCUUGCUCUUACGGGUGGCGAGUGGCGGACGGGUGAGGAAUACAUCGGAAUCUACUUUUUCGUGGGGGAUAACGUAGGGAAACUUACGCUAAUACCGCAUACGACCUACGGGUGAAAGCAGGGGAUCUUCGGACCUUGCGCGAUUGAAUGAGCCGAUGUCGGAUUAGCUAGUUGGCGGGGUAAAGGCCCACCAAGGCGACGAUCCGUAGCUGGUCUGAGAGGAUGAUCAGCCACACUGGAACGGGGACACGGUCCAGACUCCUAAGGGAGGCAGCAGUGGGGAAUAUUGGACAAUGGGCGCAAGCCUGAUCCAGCCAUACCGCGUGGGUGAAGAAGGCCUUCGGGUUGUAAAGCCCUUUUGUUGGGAAAGAAAAGCAGCAGGUUAAUACCCCGCUGUUCUGACGGUACCCAAAGAAUAAGCACCGGCUAACUUCGUG